Molecule: long non-coding RNA, 668 nt
Filed under: Vulpes vulpes (red fox)
Lineage: Eukaryota; Metazoa; Chordata; Mammalia; Carnivora; Canidae
Description: lncRNA (ENSVVUG00000027312.1)
Source: RNAcentral
UAACUGUAUAGCAAUGUUUAUUAAUCUUUUUUGCAUCAUGGGGCCCUUGGGGAAUAGGAUGAAAGCUAAAGACACAAUCCCUUAGGAAAAGAUACAUACACUUAACGCUUCCACACACUCCAUGAUGAGAACCCUGCCCUAUGGAAACAAACAGUUUUCCCCAAAAUCGCAGCAGGACUGUCCUCCUCAUCCUCUAGACCUGCAUCCAAAAUGACUUCUGGCUAUCCCCAAAUAUCAAAUCUCUGAAGGAACGAGAUGUUCCAGUGCUGAGGAGGUCCAAAAGAAUGUGCCGUAAGCUCAAAAGGCAUUUCCACAGAGAGCAUUCCAAAGAUGUUUGAAGAAAGCCAGGGUCCCUGGCAAGUGCGGCUUCUCCAGAUGACCACCUGGAAGAGGGUAGCAUCUGUGUUCCCGUCCUGGUGGGCUCUUAAUCAGCCCCAUCCCUCUCAGGCAAAGCUCGUUUGGGCGUUCCGUUUUCAGGUGGCAGUGACCGAUGUUUAGUCUCACUUAUUUUCUCUGAUGACUCAACACAGUAAAUAAGACGGUCUGUUUGGAAAAGCCCUGCAGUAAAUCAUCCUGAAAAAGUAAAAGCUUAUUUAUUGAUUUGAUAACUUUUCUGUUUUACUCUUCUAGCUUUAUAUUUUGUAAUAAAGCGUCUUUAAAAUGUAGCA